Non-coding RNA from Danio rerio (zebrafish), 47 nucleotides. The record is from Rfam. Lineage: Eukaryota; Metazoa; Chordata; Actinopteri; Cypriniformes; Danionidae.
CCAAAGGCUCUUUUCAGAGCCACUUCAGUACAUCAAAAAACUGCAAU